This 253-nucleotide ribosomal RNA is filed under the name uncultured bacterium. Its description in RNAcentral is "partial 16S ribosomal RNA". It matches the Rfam family "Bacterial small subunit ribosomal RNA", at positions 524 to 776 of the family's 1533-position model. The record is from RNAcentral.
UACAGAGGUCUCAAGCGUUGUUCGGAUUCAUUGGGCGUAAAGGGUGCGUAGGCGGCGCGGUAAGUCGGGUGUGAAAUCCCGGGGCUCAACCCCGGAACUGCAUUGGAUACUGCCUUGCUAGAGUACUGGAGAGGGAACUGGAAUUUACGGUGUAGCAGUGAAAUGCGUAGAGAUCGUAAGGAAGGCCAGUGGCGAAGGCGAGUUCCUGGACAGUUACUGACGCUGAGGCACGAAGGCCAGGGGAGCAAACGGG